This 117-nucleotide ribosomal RNA is filed under the name Bacillus sp. (in: firmicutes). Lineage: Bacteria; Bacillati; Bacillota; Bacilli; Caryophanales; Bacillaceae. The record is from RNAcentral.
UCUGGUGAUGAUGGCGAAGAGGUCACACCCGUUCCCAUGCCGAACACGGAAGUUAAGCUCUUCAGCGCCGAUGGUAGUUGGGGGCUGUCCCCCUGUGAGAGUAGGACGUUGCCAGGC